CCUACGGGGGGCAGCAGUGAGGAAUAUUGGUCAAUGGACGAGAGGCUGAACCAGCCAAGUAGCGUGAGGGAUGACUGCCCUAUGGGUUGUAAACUUCUUUUAUAUGGGAAUAAAAUGUUCCACGUGUGGGGUUUUGUGUGUACCAUAUGAAUAAGGAUCGGCUAACUCCGUGCCAGCAGCCGCGGUAAUACGGAGGAUCCGAGCGUUAUCCGGAUUUAUUGGGUUUAAAGGGAGCGUAGGUGGAUUGUUAAGUCAGUGGUGAAAGUUUGCGGCUCAACCGUAAAAUUGCAGUUGAAACUGGCAGUCUUGAGUACAGUAGAGGUGUGCGGAAUGCGUGGUGUAGCGGUGAAAUGCUUAGAUAUCACGAAGAACUCCGAUUGCGAAGGCAGCUCACUGGACUGCAACUGACACUGAGGCUCGAAAGUGUGGGUAUCAAACAGGAUUAGAUACCCGAGUAGUC
This 460-nucleotide ribosomal RNA is filed under the name uncultured bacterium. RNAcentral's name for it is "partial 16S ribosomal RNA". It matches the Rfam family "Bacterial small subunit ribosomal RNA", at positions 338 to 795 of the family's 1533-position model. The record is from RNAcentral.